UUCAGCAUCAAUUUAAAAUUAAAAUGUGUAAAAAUGUAAAUGAUGAAAGAUAAUAACAUGUAAUAUAUUUUCAGUUUGGUGUAUUUACAAAAUUAAGAGGCAAAAAUUGUAUACAUAAAAACAGAAAUAAGCUUUUUUCUUGAAAUGGUGAUAAUUAUCGAUACGGUAAGAAGUGAUAAUAAAAAGUGCAUAAUUUUUAAACCUUUUUCGAGUCAGUACAUGAAAAGACAUCGUGCGAGAAGAUCGUUUCUUUAAAAUAUACUAAUGAAUGAGGAGAAAAAAUUAAAAUGUCAUUGAAUAAUUUUAAUAUCGUACAUACAUCUAAAGAGAGUGAAUUUACGGAUAAUCGCAAUACCGAAAAGUCUUCAUCUCGGAAUUUUUUGACUUCAAAAUUAUCAGAUAAGAUUGAUAAUACGGUAUUACUGAAUUUUAAUACAACAAGUAAAAAUAAUAAAAAUGAACACUUGCGUCGAGUUACAAGUAGCAGUGAUAAUGAAGCACAAAAUGGAAUGAUAUUGAACGAUGAUUUAAACGAUCGUUUCGAAGAUCACUUAAGAAAAGAAACAAUAGAUGAAAAGCAAGAGACACGAUUGUUUUCACAGAAGAAUUAUACUUUGACAUUAAUCGAUGUAACGAUUUGCACAAUUACAAUCGGACCAUCUGUAGUCGGUUUUUGGAGAGGUGUAUGGGGGCUAAUGGAUUUUCAUCAAGAAAUGUUUCCGUUUUGGCUAUGUUUCACAUUUGGCAUACUGUUUCACAUGAUGUUUGCAGUGAUGAAAUAUCAGCUUCAUAAUUAUGUGAAUAACAAGAUAAAAAAGAAUAGUUUGUUCAAUCAAAUACUAUGUCAAAUAUUUAAGAUCAUUUAUACUUUCGUAUUUGGAAUAAUGUGCAUAAUACAUUGGAGAUAUAGCUGGAUCAUACUCGACGAAUAUUUGCAUAUACAUAAAUUAUGACACACACGGAUAGAUGUAUAUACUUGAGAAUACAAGAUAGGUAUAAGUUAUAUAACAGUUUUAUUAUCAAUGAGAACAUUGCAGAAUAUUUGUCAACUGAAAUGAUACCUUACGAAGAAAUUUAACAUUAAACAGGAAACAAUAAAACGUGAGGAUAAACGCAAGUUUAACGACGACAUUUAUAAGCGUCUUGGCAGGGCUGCGCUGUAUACGAAAUCUAUUAGCACCGCCGUUUUACAUAAAUAUCGACGACUAUA
Molecule: RNA transcript, 1210 nt
Organism: Vespula vulgaris
Lineage: Eukaryota; Metazoa; Arthropoda; Insecta; Hymenoptera; Vespidae
Exons: 5
Source: RefSeq, a predicted model, not a curated record